Molecule: ribosomal RNA, 460 nt
Filed under: uncultured bacterium
Lineage: Bacteria
Description: partial 16S ribosomal RNA
Rfam family: Bacterial small subunit ribosomal RNA
Source: RNAcentral
CCUACGGGCGGCAGCAGUGAGGAAUAUUGGUCAAUGGACGAGAGUCUGAACCAGCCAAGUAGCGUGAAGGAUGACUGCCCUAUGGGUUGUAAACUUCUUUUAUAUGGGAAUAAAAUGUUCCACGUGUGGGUUUUUGCAUGUACCACAUGAAUAAGGACCGGCUAACUCCGUGCCAGCAGCCGCGGUAAUACGGAGGAUCCGGGCGUUAUCCGGAUUUAUUGGGUUUAAAGGGAGCGUAGGUGGAUUGUUAAGUUAGUUGUGAAAGUUUGCGGCUCAACCGUAAAAUUGCAGUUGAAACUGGCGGUCUUGAGUACAGUGAAGGUGGGCGGAAUUCGUGGUGUAGCGGUGAAAUGCUUAGAUAUCACGAAGAACUCCGAUUGCGAAGGCAGCUCGCUGGACUGCAACUGACACUGAGGCUCGAAAGUGUGGGUAUCGAACAGGAUUAGAUACCCCGGUAGUC